AUCCUUCCGUAGUUCGUGAGCAUGAUGAUUGGGUGCUCACACACGUGUGAGAUGUGCCACCCUCAAACCUUGUUACAAUGUCGGCACAUUACCCAUCUGACC
Pan troglodytes (chimpanzee) is the source of this 102-nucleotide small nucleolar RNA. It matches the Rfam family "Small nucleolar RNA U13". The record is from Rfam. Lineage: Eukaryota; Metazoa; Chordata; Mammalia; Primates; Hominidae.